CCUACGGGUGGCUGCAGUGAGGAAUAUUGGUCAAUGGGCGCGAGCCUGAACCAGCCAAGUCGCGUGAGGGAAGACGGUCCUAUGGAUUGUAAACCUCUUUUGUCGGGGAGCAAAAGACGCCACGCGUGGCGUUCCGAGAGUACCCGAAGAAAAAGCAUCGGCUAACUCCGUGCCAGCAGCCGCGGUAAUACGGAGGAUGCGAACGUAAUCCGGAUUUAUGGGGUUUAAAGGGUGCGCAGGCGGAAGAUCAAGUCAGCGGUAAAAUUGAGAGGCUCAACCUCUUCGAGCCGUUGAAACUGGUGUUCUUGAGUGAGUGAGAAGUAGGCGGAAGGCGUGGUGUAGCGGUGAAAUGCAUAGAUAUCACGCAGAACUCCGAUUGCGAAGGCAGCAUACCGGCGCUCAACUGACGCUCAUGCACGAAAGUGUGGGUAUCGAACAGGAUUAGAUACCCGGGUAGUC
RNAcentral lists this ribosomal RNA (459 nucleotides) under uncultured bacterium. Its description in RNAcentral is "partial 16S ribosomal RNA". It matches the Rfam family "Bacterial small subunit ribosomal RNA", at positions 338 to 795 of the family's 1533-position model. The record is from RNAcentral.